CAACCUCCCACCCGUGUUUACUGUAACCUUAGUUGCUUCGGCGGGCCCGCCUUUAAGGCCGCCGGGGGGCAUCAGCCCCCGGGCCCGCGCCCGCCGGAGACACCACGAACUCUGUCUGAUCUAGUGAAGUCUGAGUUGAUUGUAUCGCAAUCAGUUAAAACUUUCAACAAUGGAUCUCUUGGUUCCGGCAUCGAUGAAGAACGCAGCGAAAUGCGAUAACUAGUGUGAAUUGCAGAAUUCCGUGAAUCAUCGAGUCUUUGAACGCACAUUGCGCCCCCUGGUAUUCCGGGGGGCAUGCCUGUCCGAGCGUCAUUGCUGCCCAUCAAGCACGGCUUGUGUGUUGGGUCGUCGUCCCCUCUUCGGGGGGGACGGGCCCCAAAGGCAGCGGCGGCACCGCGUCCGAUCCUCGAGCGUAUGGGGCUUUGUCACCCGCUCUGUAGGCCCGGCCGGCGCUUGCCGAACGCAAAACAACCAUUCUUUCCAGGUUGACCUCGGAUCAGGUAGGGAUACCCGCUGAACUUAAGCAUAUCAAUAGGCCGGGAGGGACAUUACCGAGUGUAGGGUUCCUAGCGAGCCC
RNAcentral lists this ribosomal RNA (577 nucleotides) under Aspergillus tamarii. Its description in RNAcentral is "eukaryotic LSU rRNA". The stretch from base 159 to 312 matches the Rfam family "5.8S ribosomal RNA". The record is from RNAcentral. Lineage: Eukaryota; Fungi; Ascomycota; Eurotiomycetes; Eurotiales; Aspergillaceae.